RNAcentral lists this ribosomal RNA (301 nucleotides) under uncultured bacterium. Its description in RNAcentral is "partial 16S ribosomal RNA". It matches the Rfam family "Bacterial small subunit ribosomal RNA", at positions 509 to 809 of the family's 1533-position model. The record is from RNAcentral.
CAGUAGCCGCGGUAAUACGAAGGGUGCAAGCGUUAAUCGGAAUUACUGGGCGUAAAGCGUGCGUAGGCGGUUUGUUAAGUCUGUUGUGAAAUCCCCGGGCUCAACCUGGGAAUGGCAAUGGAUACUGGCUCGCUAGAGUGUGUCAGAGGAUGGUGGAAUUCCCGGUGUAGCGGUGAGAUGCGUAGAGAUCGGGAGGAACAUCAGUGGCGAAGGCGGCCAUCUGGGACAACACUGACGCUGAGGCACGAAAGCGUGGGGAGCAAUCAGGAUUAGAUACCCCUGUAGUCCCUGUCUCUUAUAU